Long non-coding RNA from Daphnia pulex (common water flea), 1116 nucleotides. RefSeq lists it as uncharacterized. The record is from RefSeq and is a predicted model, not a curated record. The transcript is spliced from 5 exons. Lineage: Eukaryota; Metazoa; Arthropoda; Branchiopoda; Diplostraca; Daphniidae.
GUGAAUUCCAUUUUUAUGGUUUGUCAUCAUGAACAUUUCAACGUGUUUCUUAGGAAAGAGCACUUCUUUGUGGAAUCGUGUUAUACAGGAAUAAGUGUAAAUUAGCAACUAUUUGUUUCGCUCAUUUCGCCUGGGGGACAUUUAAUUCGUUGGAGUUUUAUUGUUGGACAUUUAAAAUUCAUUCAACUACGCGACAAACAAUAGAACUCCAAUAAAUUCUUUAAUUAUUUAAAUGUCCGACAAUAGAACUCCAACGAUUUUAAAUUUCCGACAAUCCAUCUACAGUCAAACAGUAAUGGUGGAGGAAUCUUUUGGCUCCGUCAGUAGGUGGCUAAAACGUAGUUGUCCCCCAGCCACCAGGUGACGCGAGUGUCGUCGAGAGGACGAAUUUUCGCCAUUUUUUUCCGAAACGCUAAGUGAAAAGGUAUUCCAAAUUCGUUACGGAAUUGCGUUGUCGAUCUACAUUUUCAGCAUUAAAAUUUAAUGGGCAAUCUCAUAUAAUUUCCACUUGGCCAAAUAAUCGAUCACGUGGACUGAAACUGCUUAGUGCUUUCCAUUUUGCCGAAAUGUCCGUUGUUUAGCUGUACCUGUUUUGAUGUACUCUCAUCUCACGUAAAAACACUACAGAGGACCAGAGAUUUUAAUAGUUGGUGUUCAGGUUGGAGCUCCUGUUGCAGAAUGUGAGAACUCAACACAUUCUGGGCUCCAUGGCUUCAUGGCCAUGGCCACAUGGUUUUGUUGCAGCCAGCUGGUGAAAGGCGUGAUUGAGUCAAGUUGAGCUGCAGCUGCUGCAUGCAGUUUUUCGAGCUGGUGUUAUCCUGAAGUGUCAUUGCAGGAAGACUUUUUGAAAUGGACUUGGUGAAACUAUGCUGUUCAAUGUGCAGUGGUUUUGCAGCCUAUUUCCAGUUGAGAGAUGUGAUUAUGCAGCUGAUACACGAUUGAAGAAAAAGAACUGAAGUAGCUGUGCUGGUGUUCUCCUGAAAUUGCUGUGCCAUAGGAGUUGCAGAUACUGUUGGUUCCUCAUAGAAGUUUAUUUAAAGAGUCUGGAGAUGAUCAGUCACUGCCUAUAACUUAUGUAAAACCUCAUUGAAAUAAAUAUAAAAGUGAAGUGCUAAA